This 115-nucleotide ribosomal RNA is filed under the name Pteropus alecto (black flying fox). The record is from RNAcentral. Lineage: Eukaryota; Metazoa; Chordata; Mammalia; Chiroptera; Pteropodidae.
GUCUACAGCCAUGCCACCCUGAACAAGCCUGAUGUCUGAUCUGGGAAGCUAACAGGGUCAGGCUUGGUUAGUACUUGAAUGGGAGACCACCUAGGAAGACCAGGUGCUAUAGGCA